AUUCUGCUCCGCUUUAGCUGCGAGAGUUUACCAACUCAAAUCUGGCCCAAGCCUGGACAGUCUAGAUAAGGAAGCGGAUCACAAAAACAAAUUGCCAGUGAAGAAUUAUUGGAACUUUGAUAUCAUGGACCAGCAUUUACUAAUUUGGGGAAGCUCCUUUUAAAUAUAGAUGGUGCGGUGGCUCAUGCCUGUAAUCCUAGCACUUUGGGAGACUGAGGUGGGCAGAGUGCCUGAGCUCAGGAGUUCGAGACCAGCCUGGGCAACACGACGAAACCCCGUCUCUACUAAAAAUACAAAAAACUAGCUGGGCAUGGUGGCGCGCACCUGUAAUCCCAGCUACUCAGGAGGCCGAGGCACAAGAAUCGCCUGAACAAGGGAGGCAGAGGUUGCAGUGAGCCAAGAUUGUCCCAUUGCACUCCAGCCUGGGCGACAGAGUGAGACUCUGUCUCAAGAAAAACAAAAACUAAAUAUAAAUAAAUAAAUGGCUUUU
RNAcentral lists this long non-coding RNA (490 nucleotides) under Homo sapiens (human). RNAcentral's name for it is "HSALNT0328417". Lineage: Eukaryota; Metazoa; Chordata; Mammalia; Primates; Hominidae. The record is from RNAcentral.